CAGUAGCCACGGUAAUACAGAGGGUGCGAGCGUUAAUCGGAUUUACUGGGCGUAAAGCGUGCGUAGGCGGCUUCUUAAGUCGGAUGUGAAAUCCCUGAGCUUAACUUAGGAAUUGCAUUCGAUACUGGGAAGCUAGAGUAUGGGAGAGGAUGGUAGAAUUCCAGGUGUAGCGGUGAAAUGCGUAGAGAUCUGGAGGAAUACCGAUGGCGAAGGCAGCCAUCUGGCCUAAUACUGACGCUGAGGUACAAAAGCAUGGGGAGCAAACAGGAUUAGAUACCCCAGUAGUCCCUGUCUCUUAUAA
This 301-nucleotide ribosomal RNA is filed under the name uncultured bacterium. Its description in RNAcentral is "partial 16S ribosomal RNA". It matches the Rfam family "Bacterial small subunit ribosomal RNA", at positions 509 to 809 of the family's 1533-position model. The record is from RNAcentral.